Molecule: ribosomal RNA, 1097 nt
Filed under: Berthellina sp. TLT-2006
Lineage: Eukaryota; Metazoa; Mollusca; Gastropoda; Pleurobranchida; Pleurobranchidae
Description: large subunit ribosomal RNA
Source: RNAcentral
CCUCGAUGUUGGACUAGGAAAUUAAUAGACUAGUCGUUUAUUAUAUUGGUUCUGUUCGAACUAUUAUUCCUACAUGAUCUGAGUUCAGUUCAACGGUGAUUCAGCUGCCGAAGUGACCGCAGCGCGUCCAGAGGUUCAAUUGGAACCCUUUGUUUUCUGUUUUCAUCAUCUAGAAUCCGUGAAGUUGUAGCAGUCAUUCGCCUUUUCCACUAUGAAACAAUCGUACAACUUAAACAGCACAUUUUGAAUAGAUCUAUGUAUGCAUCAUCAUUACCUUUUUUGGGAAUAGUCUUGCAAAAAGAAGAAAUAAAUGAAGGCAAGAAAGCAGACCUGCAGAUUGUUAGCAUGUUACUCAUCAUGUUUGCCGUUAGUUGCUACAAAACAAACCACUAGAAUUCCAUUUGUCACCUCGCUCUAGAUCUACGACCUGUUUCUUUUACUACCACUACUGCUACUACUGCUGCUGCUGCUGCUGCUGAUACUACUACUACUACUACUACCACUACUACUACAACUACUUCAACUACCGCUACUACUGCUGCUACUACUACUAUCACUACUACAUAUUAUGCUACCUUGGCACAGUCAAAAUACUGCGGCCGCGGUAUUUUGACUGUGCUAAGGUAGCGUAAUAAGUUGGCUUUUAAAUGAAGUCGGGUAUGAAUGAAAGAACGUAGUUAAGCUGUCUUAAGAUUAUUUUAUUGAAGUUACUGUAUAGAUGAAAAAGUCUAUAAAAAAAUAAAAGACGAGAAGACCCUUAGAAUUUAAGUGAUGUUUGAAGAUUUAUUCAGGAUACUUUUGUUGGGGCGACAUGAAAACAGGAGUUAACUUUUUUAAAAUUAACAUGACGAUUUUUAUAAGGUUGGAUAAAUUACCUGAGGGAUAACAGCAUAAUUUUAUUAAUAAGUUUGUGACCUCGAUGUUGGACUAGGAAAUUAAUAGACUAGUCGUUUAUUAUAUUGGUUCUGUUCGAACUAUUAUUCCUACAUGAUCUGAGUUCAGACCGGCGGGAGCCAGGUCAGAUUCUAUCUUUUAAUUUUAUGUCUCUAGUACGAAAGGACCGGGGUGUUAUAUUAAAAAAUAUAUUAAAAUAAACU